GACGAACGCUGGCGGCGUGCUUAACACAUGCAAGUCGAACGGAAAGGCCCUGCUUUUGUGGGGUGCUCGAGUGGCGAACGGGUGAGUAACACGUGAGUAACCUGCCCUUGACUUUGGGAUAACUUCAGGAGACUGGGGCUAAUACCGGAUAGGAGCUCCUGCUGCAUGGUGGGGGUUGGACAGUUUCGGCGGUUGGGGAUGGACUCGCGGCUUAUCAGCUUGUUGGUGGGGUAGUGGCUUACCAAGGCUUUGACGGGUAGCCGGCCUGGGAGGUUGACCGGCCACAUUGGGACUGCGAUACGGCCCAGACUCCUACGGGAGGCAGCAGUGGGGAAUAUUGCACAAUGGGCGGAAGCCUGAUGCAGCAACGCCGCGUGCGGGAUGACGGCCUUCGGGUUGUAAACCGCUUUCGCCUGUGACGAAGCGUGAGUGACGGUACUGGGUAAAGAAGCACCGGCUAACUACGUG
RNAcentral lists this ribosomal RNA (468 nucleotides) under uncultured bacterium. Its description in RNAcentral is "partial 16S ribosomal RNA". It matches the Rfam family "Bacterial small subunit ribosomal RNA", at positions 28 to 507 of the family's 1533-position model. The record is from RNAcentral.